This is an RNA transcript of Vespula vulgaris, 5084 nucleotides long. It is a transcript of the gene named transcription factor SOX-2-like, with no coding region annotated. NCBI's taxonomy places the organism in Eukaryota, Metazoa, Arthropoda, Insecta, Hymenoptera, Vespidae. The transcript has 4 exons. The record is from RefSeq and is a predicted model, not a curated record.
AAAAAAUAAGAAGAAAAAGAAAAUGGAAAAGGAGCAGAAAGAGCAGAAGCAGAAGAAGUAGAAAAAGCAGAAGAUGACGACGACGACGAAGAAGAAGAAGAAGAAGAAGAAGAAGAAGAAGAAGAAGAAGAAGAAGAAGAAGAGAAGAAAGAGGAAGAGGAAAACGACGCGAGACCGACGGGUAGCCGAUCUCGUGGCGCGCACAGUGGCAAGAAGAAGAUAGGGGAAGUUGAUAUCGUGGUAAGAGAGAGAGAGAGAGAAAGAGAGAGAGAAAGAGUGGGAGAGAGUGGGAGAGAGAGAGAGAGGGAGAGCGUGUUGAGAAGCAGUAGUGGGGAUGUAGUGUAAGAGGGAAGGUUUAGCUCGGUCGCAAGAGGUCGCUUCGGAGGUUGGUAUGAGCCCGCCCACUAGAACUGUGGCAUAGGGCCGAUUGGUCGAGAGAAAUGAUGGCAGGCGCGCGUGCCAAUCGAUAGCCGUCGGUAGACUCGCUCCUUUGGCUAUGGUCGCGUCGAUCCUGCCAGAGUGGGGGUAUCCUCGUAGACUGGAGGGAGCGAAGGAGCGAAGGGGUCGAGGGACGGACCGAGUUGGUCAGAAGUGGGGGGUGAGAAAGAGGAGUAGUGGAGGUAACAGCAGCCGCCUCGGCAGGAAGUGAGCCCCGAGUGUUAGAGCCCAAGGCGAAACCCACGAAUGCUCAGACGGUUCUGUCCUUUCGUGGAGAGUGGAGGUCGGCUUCUUCUUUUCUUGUGUUAAUCUACGACGUGUGAGACACUAAAGAAAAAACGCGUGCCAAGCGUGUGCACGCGCUCAUACGCAUCAUACACGGAUACGGAUACGUACUCUAUACAUACUGAAAGAAAGAGAGAGAGAGAGAGACAGACAGUGGAGAAAGAGGGAGGGAGUGAGUGGAGAAGAGAAGAGAAGAGAAGGAAGAGAAGGAAGAGAAGAGAAGAGAAGAGAAGAGAAGAGAAAGAUCGAGCUCUCGUGUUGAUGGUGAUCAUCGUCUGUGACUAGUAAGAGAGCCUUCCGUAUCAAGGUGUCAACAACGCGUCGUUGUUGUCCUCUGUUCUUCUCUUCUGUGGCGUCGUCGAGUACGAGGACCGCCGGCGACGUGUCUCCUUGUGGUGUUCCUUCAGUGACAUUUACGUAGUGAGAAUCUCUUAAUAUACGAAAACAAUAACGAACGAUACUAGACUUUGAAGAAGAGGAAGAAGAAAAAGAAGUUUAAAGAAAUAGAAGAAAAAGGAAAGAACAACAACAAUUUUAAGGAAUGAGUAAUGCGCGCGGGUUGAUUCUACGUGCUAAGAGUGCGCGAAGUUUGUGAGGGAUUGUGAUUUUUGUCGAGAAAGAAACACUUAUAUCGGAUCAUUCAUAUUUUCAAUAUCGUUAUGAAAAGGGAAACGGACUAAGUGAAAUUCGGCUUCGAAGAGAAAAAAGCGAGAGGAAGGAAAAGAGAAAGCGAGAGAGAGAGAGAGAGAGAGAGAGAAGGAAAGAAAAGAAGAAAAAAAAGAGCUAGUGACCGGACGCGCUACGGCUGAAGAAAAUCGAGGAGCGGCGCGCAGUGGUGCGCGAGAUCUCAUCGGCGGCGUGUGUCUCGUCGAGGCUCUUUCUUUGACGUAGCACAGUUAAAGAAAACGGCGGCAAACUGUACGGCCACAGGGAGGACGACAUGCUCACGAUGGAGACGGACCUAAAAGGCGGUAGCCUGCAUGGUCAGAUGCCACCGCAUCCGCACCAAGGUGUAUCGCCGAUGGGUCACCAUACCGGCGUGUCGCCUUACGGAACACUAGGUUCCAUAGUUCAUAGUCCAGCCCUGUCUGGAAGUCCACCUAGCAGUAGUACCCUAGGAUUAGGUUUACAACAUCAUCAUCAACCGCAGCACCAUUAUGCUUCGAUGCAGGCUGCGGCUGCUGCGGCCCAACAGCAGCAGCAGCAGCAACAACAGCAGCAACAACAACAACAACAGCAACAACAAAACAUGCAUACUCUUGCGGCUCAGCAAAGCGCUGCGCAACAGCAACACCAUCCUCAUCAGCAACCGCAGCAACAACAGCAACAGCAAUCGCAAAACCAACAUCAUCAGCCACCAAAUAACAACAAUAAUACGAAUAAGAACAAUAACAUAGACCGAGUGAAGAGGCCGAUGAACGCUUUCAUGGUCUGGUCCCGCGGUCAACGGCGUAAGAUGGCUCAAGAGAAUCCGAAGAUGCAUAAUUCAGAAAUUUCUAAACGCUUGGGAGCGGAAUGGAAAUUACUCAGCGAAACAGAAAAACGCCCGUUUAUCGACGAAGCGAAGCGAUUGCGCGCGGUGCACAUGAAAGAGCACCCGGAUUACAAGUACCGACCAAGAAGAAAAACGAAAACGCUUUUGAAGAAAGACAAGUUCCCGCUCGGCGGCGGUGUCGGAGGAGUUGGAGUCGGCGUUGGUGUCGGUGGCAUAUUAGGCGUCGAUCAAAGACAAGUUGGUAGUACGGGUGGACCUCAGCAAGGGCAGAUAUCCCGCGAGGUAUAUCAGAUGCCCAACGGAUAUAUGCCGAAUGGUUAUAUGAUGCACGAUCCGACGGCCGCUGCGUAUCAGCAGCACGUUGCUUAUGGUGGUCACAUGGGUGGAGCGGCGGCAGCCGCGGCCGCUGCUGGAUAUCCAAGAUAUGAUAUGGGACAUCACAUGGGUGGUGGCAGUCCACCAAUAAACAGUUAUAUGAAUGGAUAUGGUGGUUACGCUGGAACCACCGUACCCGGCGGCUCACCCUCGCCGUAUCACCAGCCUCAAUCUGGAUCCCAAAUGUCUAGCCACAGUCCUAGCGGCAGUAGUAUAAAAUCUGAGCCAACGAGUCCUGCGAGUGCGGGUAUACAUACUCCCACACCUACCAGCGGACCGGGCGCCUCGAGCGCAGCGUCUGGUCCGCAACAGCAGCAACAGGCGCAACAACAACAAGCUGCUGCUGCUGCUGCCGUUAAACGUGAAUAUAUGGGCCAACAAACCCAUCAAACUCAUCAAUCUCAGGGAGAUCUUAGACAGAUGAUAUCCAUGUAUUUGCCGCAAGGAGUCGACCAGGGGGUCGUCCAACAUGGUGCUGGUGUCUACUCCCCUGGUCCAUCACCGGAUCCUUUGGCGCAACAUCACUCGAUACCACCGCUCAGUCAUAUGUCUGAAAGUGAUCGAAAAAUGUUGAACCCAGAAACCGGUUGUUAUUCGGAAUCCGUGCGAGCAUGGGAUUGGAACGCGACGGGCAACGUGCGCGUACAAGAGUCCUGGCCGACGUGAGCGGAUUUCGCCGCGGCUAACUCGAACUUCUCCAACGACGAAGGAUCAGGAUCCUUGAUUGUUUCGCGCCUCACGGUAUCAAUGUCCGGAGGAGACUUACAGGAUGCCCGUGGACUAUUAUAGUGCUAGAUCGACUUCGUCCAGGAGAUACUUCGUUAACGAUUAAGAUACCUUCGACGAGUCCUGAGAAGGUGGUGUGGGUGCGUGCGUGUGUGCGUGCGUGUUUACGCGUGUGUGCAUGCGUGCGUGUGUGCGUUUGAUAAAAUGGACGAUAUAAUUAACGUAUAUACGGUGUAUAACGUACCUCGGGUGAUUCAAUUUAAUAGAUUAUAUAUAAACGAUGUAAAUAUCGGUGUGCAAUAAGUCGACACUUCCUCGUUUAUGAUAGGCGAGAAAGUCCUUGUUAUUAUCACCGUUACGGUUAGCAUUACGAACCAUUAUCGUUACGGAGCAUCGCUUAUCAUUAUCGUAUCUGCCGUGAGAGGAGGAACUCGUUGAAUUAUUCAUGCGGCGUUUAUGACGGAAUCUUUUUUCUUCUUUUUUUUUCUUUUUUUCUUUUUGUUAGACUAAAAGUGUGAAAGAGAGAGAGAGAGAGAGAGAGGGAGAGAAUGAAAUAGAGAGUGUAUGAGAGAAUAAGAGAGGGAGAGGUACGUACAGCGAAUGAGAGGGUCGCGCGAGUCUCGGGUAACCGUUCGCGCGCUUCGUUAUAAAUCAUCGCAUGACGUAUGUACAUACGUUAAGGAGCCAACUCAGAUUUUCUUUCGUUCUUUUUUUUUUCUUUUUUCUUUAUUUUUUUUUUCUUCCUCGAGCUCCUUCACUCGCGAAAGAAGAAUCCUUUGCAUAUCGAAGAGCGAUGCGACGAUUCCGAGAAGACCGGAAAAGACACAUAUAUACAUGCAUAUAUAUAUAUAUAUAUAUAUAUAUAUAUAUGUAUGUAUGUAUGUAUGCGUUCACAACCAUUCAACAUGAAAACACAGAAACACACAUUAUAGCGUCUUCGUGUUAACCUGUAUAUUUCUUCUGUAAAUAAAUUAUUCGUGAUAAUCGCUGCGAGUGAUGCGACACAUAUUUUAAUUAUCGUUUGAUUAUUACCAAACCGAGUUAGUAUCCUCGGCCUAGGGAUCGACACGACUGUCUUACAAUCGAUAUAGAUUUAUGAUUAUUAAGUAAAAUAUUAAUGUAGUAAGAUUAGUAGUACAUGCUCGUUGAUUUAUCGUGGAACGUUUCGUUGUAAGCCGAUCUUUCGAGAUAAAUCGUAGGAGAUAAGCGAGUAUCGAUUUUACACGAAGGAGGAGAUCGAUUUAAAUGAACGAGCUACGCGAUAAGGUAUGUUACAUAAAAGAUUCCGGGAGAGAGGAGAACCCGAAGAAUCGAUCCUGCAGCAGCAUGAAAACGAAAAUAGUCGCCGAACGUAACGAUCAACAUCAGAAACAUGCAUUUUCGAUCUAAAAUAUGAGUUAAAAGGAGUCAGCAAUUAGGGAGCGAGCGAACUUAAGUAAAUUUUUACCUCUCUUGCGAAAGGACGUUCGUGUCGUUCAACAAUUCGCACAUUUGAUCGCAAUAAAGGCCGUGCAAAGGAAACAAUAGACGAGCUUUUGUUGUUACUACGAGUAUUUCCCUACAUUUGUAUCAUAGUUGAAUCCUUUCAAUAUGAAAUUUCAACUGCCCUGCAAAAAGUAUUGAUUCGUUCUGAUAAUACGUAAACAUGUAAAACGAUAAUCCUAAUGUCGAGAAAAAAGGUUAUGAAAUUAAUUAAAGAAAAAAAAAAAGAAAAAAGAAAGAAAAAGAAUCUACUAUUUAUAAUUACAAACAAAGAAUACUACAA